This is a long non-coding RNA of Zonotrichia leucophrys gambelii, 2178 nucleotides long. RefSeq lists it as uncharacterized. The record is from RefSeq and is a predicted model, not a curated record. The transcript is spliced from 3 exons. NCBI's taxonomy places the organism in Eukaryota, Metazoa, Chordata, Aves, Passeriformes, Passerellidae.
GGUGAGGAGUCAGGUGGCUGCUGCACGGAGCAGGAACAGUCAGUGCUUAGAGGAACUGCCUGUGAGAAACAUUGAGAAGUACAACCGGAAAUCCUCUCGUGCUGGCUGAGGACUGGAGCUGUGGCUGGGCAGUGCGGUGGGUGGUGCAUUGGAGGUGCAGCUGGGCUCUGCACAGAGGGUGAGUGUUGGAUAAUCUGUGGUGCAGGUGCUUCCCUACCCCUCGUGGAUGGCUCAUAAAUUCCAGGUGGGAUCUGAAGGAACUGGCACUGCCCCAUUACGUUCCUCUGUGGCUUCAGUCCUGGCAACUUCAGCAGCUUCUCCCUGCACAGCAUUAACACAGCUGUGCUCAGCGGACCCACCGGUGCUGGAACGGCCUCAAUAAGCAGUGGGAAGCUGCCAGCUCUGCUCCCUGAAGGGCUCCUGGCUCCGCCUGCCAGCUUGGGCUGUGUUAACCCCCUGGGCACGGCACUGCCCCAGCCUGGCCACAGCCUCCCACUGCCAACAGUUUCAAUUAGGAAUUCUCCAGCUGUCUUCCUUCUCUGCUCUUCACCAUGGGGUCAUGCUGUGAAGAUGAGCUCCUGCUGGUCCUGCUGCCACAGCUCCAAGGUUUCAGUGGGAGCAGAGCCUGUGCCUGCAGAACAUCUCCAGCUGCUGUGGCUGUACCUCACAGAAACAGAAAACUCCAGCAAACAUCUGUGGGAUCUUGUUUGUAAUUGUCCCCACCAGCUCCACUCAGCUUCAAAAGCUGGAGGCUGAAGGGCUGCUCCUGUGGCUCAGCUGAAGCCAGAGACAAAUGUUGGCUUCUGUAUGAUGACUAAGUCUCACAUGCUUAUUGCUCCUAUCAGUUAGAGCUCUUAAUCACUUUGUGCUGUUUCAUCCUAUAACGUGAAUGCACUUCAAGCUGUGAAAUUCACCGUUUUUGCCAUGACUAAUUUGUGAAAUCUGCCACCUUUCUUUGUGGUUCACGUUGUGCCCUAGUUAGGCAUCAUCUGUCUGAUUAGGGAAGCCUGUGAUUUGUUUCUUGCAGUUGAGCCAAUACAAUUUCAUUCCCCUCCUUUCUUGUCUCUGCACUCAGCUGCAAUUUUACUGUCACCCGUGCCCUUGGAUGCACUGAGGCUAGAGGGGUGUGGAGGCCACCUCUGCUGGGGCUGGCACAGGAGCCUGGCUCUCCCCAUCUUCAGAGCACGUGCACAGGGCUCAGCCUGGCCUUUAACCCUGGCUUUGCUUGAGGCUACCUAGGUCUGCUAUGUUUACCAUCUUCCUAGAUUUCUGGUUGCUGCAAUAUUUUGGAAAACAUUUCCCACCUGCCUUGCCAGUGCCUUGUUUCACGAUACAUUCAUCUGUUACUCUUUACAUUGAAUGUUGCUGGCAUUACUAAAUGCUAUAAAUACACCCAGUAUUCCAUAAAAACACACAAGCAGAUGACUGGUCUUGCCUACAAGAAAUACUAUGAAUUUUUCAUUUUUUUCACAUGCUCUGAGAAAAAUUCAGAGGGUGCUUGAGGAAUAUCUCAUAACUGAAUCAAGUCCUAAAUUCCUGUUUUCUCACUGAUUAAUUAUUUCCUAAAAAUAUUUUCCUGCCCUCUUAAUGUCUUAAUUGUUCCUUGAAGAUCUUGCCAGCUCAUCCAUCCUUUUUCACACCCUCUUAUAAGCCCAGUGAAGCAUUAUUUUAGUAUUUCUGUCACUGAAAUACAGUGAUAAAUGGUCUUCUUUUAAAAUCAGUGGGAACAGAAUAAUUGAUGCGCAGGAGAGCUUAUUGACUUGCUAUUGCCAAAAUGGAGCCCUGCCAUGAAGUUCAGAAGGAUCACGAGAUGCCCUGGAUACUCCUCGUGCUCCUCUUUUCUUGAUGGCAAAGCUGAUGGGUUUGGGCUACACAUCUUCACAAGCUAAUGAUGGAAAAGCAAAGGAAACCUCCUAUCCUAGCUCUUAUUUUAAACAAAACUUUCUUUUCCAUCUCUAUUUCUAUAUUCUUUUACCAGUUUCACUCAAAGUUAAUCACCUCCCUGCCUGAAAAACAGACAUGUGAAUAAGAUCAACAGCAUGAUUCCUAUUAACAGAUAAAUAAAUGGACAAAUCUCUGAGAGUCCCUGGCUGUAAUUAACCCUUUAUCAAAAUCCCAGAAGAGGAGGCCAAGGAACAGCCCAAGUGCAUGUUCUUGACUUUGUCCAGCUCUCAGAAA